This 363-nucleotide unclassified non-coding RNA is filed under the name Hevea brasiliensis (rubber tree). The record is from RNAcentral. Lineage: Eukaryota; Viridiplantae; Streptophyta; Magnoliopsida; Malpighiales; Euphorbiaceae.
CCAGAUUGAUGCAUGGAAUAGACAGGAGUUGGUUAAGCACAUUGGUUUUCAUUCUGUAGAUGUUGAUGGUGAUGAUCCAAAUGAUGAUACGUGUGGCCUUUGUGGAGAUGGUGGGGAUUUGAUAUGUUGUGAUGGUUGUCCAUCAACAUUUCAUCAGAGCUGCCUUGGUAUACUGGUACUUUUACAGCAACUCAAAUGCUAUUGUAUUAUUUACAUGCACAAACUGUGCAUGCAGCGCACCUUUUUGUUUUGUGAUUGAUUUUCUCAUGGGAUUCUCUUGUUUGCAUUUUUGUGUUUAUUUUUUUUUCUCUCUCUGGUUCCAUUGAAGAUUGUUGUGGAAAGAGGCUUUAGAGAAAAAAAAAU